RNAcentral lists this ribosomal RNA (161 nucleotides) under Forsythia suspensa. RNAcentral describes it as "5.8S ribosomal RNA". It matches the Rfam family "5.8S ribosomal RNA". From Rfam's summary of the family: 5.8S ribosomal RNA (5.8S rRNA) is a component of the large subunit of the eukaryotic ribosome. Lineage: Eukaryota; Viridiplantae; Streptophyta; Magnoliopsida; Lamiales; Oleaceae. The record is from RNAcentral.
AUGACUCUCGGCAACGGAUAUCUCGGCUCUCGCAUCGAUGAAGAACGCAGCAAAAUGCGAUACUUGGUGUGAAUUGCAGAAUCCCGUGAACCAUCGAGUUUUUGAACGCAAGUUGCGCCCGAAGCCAUUAUGCUGAGGGCACGUCUGCCUGGGCGUCACGC